CCUUACAUGCAGUUCGAGCGAGGCGGCCCGCAAGGGUUCAGCUCGCAGCGGCGCAACGGGNUGCANCUANCGCGCUGGAUAACCGUGCCCAGAGGUGGGGGAUAACCCGGGGAAACUCGGGCUAAUACCGCAUGAUACCGAAAGGUCAAAGGGGGCUCGUAAGGGCUCUCGCCAUAGGAGGGGUCCGCGUCCGAUUAGCUAGUUGGUAGGGUAAUGGCCUACCAAGGCGACGAUCGGUAGCCGGCCUGAGAGGGUGAUCGGCCACACUGGAACUGANACACGGUCCAGACUCCUACGGGAGGCANCAGUGGGGAAUUUUGCGCAAUGGGCUAACGCCUGACGCAGCAACGCCGCGUGGAGGAUGAAGGUCUUUGGAUUGUAAACUCCUGUCAGCAGGGAAAAAGCAAAUCGGCCUAACACNCCNGUGAGUUGAUUGUACCUGCAGAGGAAGCCCCGGCUAACUCUGUGCCAGCANCCGCGGUAAUACANAGGGGGCAAGCGUUAUUCGGAAUUAUUGGGCGUAAAGGGCGCGUANGCNGCUUGGCAAGUGGAUGGUGAAAUCCCUCGGCUUAACCGANGAACUGCCGUCCAAACUGCUUUGCUUGAGACCGGGAGAGGUGAGUGGAAUUCCCAGUGUAGCGNUGAAAUGCGUANAUANUGGGAGGAACACCAAUGGCGAACGCGGCUCAUUGGACCGGUACUGACGCUNAAGGCGCGAAAGCGUGGGGAGCAAACGGGAUUAGAUACCCCCGGUAUUCCACGCUGUAAACCAUGAGUGCUUUGNUGUACGUGGUAUUCNACCCCCUGNUGUGCCUAAUUCAACACC
This 826-nucleotide ribosomal RNA is filed under the name uncultured bacterium. RNAcentral describes it as "partial 16S ribosomal RNA". It matches the Rfam family "Bacterial small subunit ribosomal RNA", at positions 49 to 859 of the family's 1533-position model. The record is from RNAcentral.